RNAcentral lists this long non-coding RNA (275 nucleotides) under Hordeum vulgare. RNAcentral describes it as "long non-coding RNA (HVUL_LNC000195)". The record is from RNAcentral. Lineage: Eukaryota; Viridiplantae; Streptophyta; Magnoliopsida; Poales; Poaceae.
CGCCUCCAUUAGGCAUGAGGUUGGGCGGUAGGUUGUAGAAUGGCAUCGACGAUGGGUCUGUCAGUCCGGGCACGCCGACGGCCGCACCCAUCCCGCCGUUUCCUCCCGGCGCCGGUACAUCCGGCAACUGCAUCCCGUCGGAUCCGGUGGCCGCCACGGCCGCCUCGCCAGGCUCUUCCUCGGCGAGCGGGAGGCGCUCGUAGGUGGCGUUGGAGAAGGUGGCCGCGACGACCAUGACAGGGCCAGACGCGACGAGCUCCCCGAUGACCGUGCCG